This 1064-nucleotide long non-coding RNA is filed under the name Felis catus (domestic cat). RNAcentral's name for it is "lncRNA (ENSFCAG00000046913.1)". Lineage: Eukaryota; Metazoa; Chordata; Mammalia; Carnivora; Felidae. The record is from RNAcentral.
AUCACUGGCACUGGUGAUGGGACAGCACGACAAAUGCCACGUUUCCACCUGCUGUCCUGAGGAGCUGAGCGGCCCCACUUCUCCAAACCAGAGGCCCAUCCCCAGAGCAUCCCUGGUCAGCGUGAGUGGACUGCUCUGACCAGGCCGAGCCGGGCUCUGUUGCUUCGUUGCUUUAAGGAGGAAAUGUCUGCAAGUCUUGCUUAAGGGGGUCGAGACGAAUGUCAGACUUGGCACCUGGGCUUUUUUCUUCCAAACGUGUGCUGUGUCCACAGACCAGCAGCCAUUGGCCUCUCCUGGGGAGUGUCCGGGACAGGGUCAGAGCAGUGGGAGCCCCGAGUGAGCAGCUCCCUGGCUCUGCAGGAGAAGGGACAGCAGGUGUCUGUUGUCCGGAGGACGCUGCUCUGCACGGAACCCAGGUGCUUGCUGCACACGGGCCCUGCAAACUGGUGGCAGGGGACAGGUGGCCGCCCUGUGGCCCAUGGUCACAGGUGGCGGGCUCAGGCGUGUGCGCACUGCCCCUGGGCCCACCCUGCACCCCCGCAGGGCUGGUGACGGCGGGUGAGCACAGCACACAGGGAACUUUCACACCCGAGCGUGGCCUUGACCUAGGAGCUGUGGCCCUGAGAGAAGGGACUCCCCGGCAGGAGAACGUGCGGAGGGGUCAUCUGGGCCCGGGGCUUGUUGGAGUCGUCGGCACCUCAUCUGACAGUGCAUCCCUCUACUUGGGGUGUGCGCGAAGCACGGUCCCCGGAACACGGGCCUGCCAGCCGCCAGGAUGCCAGCACUGGGCUAGGACAGCUGCUGUCGACCUCGACCCCCGCGCAGUUGAGGACAUCGUGAGCAACAAACCUGGGACGACUCUGAUAACCAGAGUGUCUGAACGUAGUGUACGGGUGCAGAACAGAUACAGGAGGAUCUGUACGGUGCGUCCGAGAGGCCGCCGCCACCGCCAUGCCGUAGGAAAGUCUUUUGAAGUAGACACAGGUUUGCUCGGGACGGAGCAGAUUCUAAGACACACGAAACCCCAACACCACAGGAGGACUAGAUCCAGCAAUCCAGAGUGA